UACGUAUGGAGCAAGCGUUAUCCGGAUUUACUGGGUGUAAAGGGAGCGCAGGCGGUCUGGCAAGUCUGAUGUGAAAGGCCGGGGCUCAACCCCGGGACUGCAUCAGAAACUGUUGAACUUGAGUGCAGAAGAGGAGAGUGGAACUCCAUGUGUAGCGGUGGAAUGCGUAGAUAUAUGGAAGGACACCAGUGGCGAAGGCGGCUCUCUGGUCUGCAACUGACGCUGAGGCUCGAAAGCAUGGGUAGCGAACAGG
Molecule: ribosomal RNA, 253 nt
Filed under: uncultured bacterium
Lineage: Bacteria
Description: partial 16S ribosomal RNA
Rfam family: Bacterial small subunit ribosomal RNA
Source: RNAcentral